CACCUCUAGCAUUACCAGUAUUAGAGGCACUGCCUGCCCAGUGACAUUAGUUAAACGGCCGCGGUAUCCUGACCGUGCAAAGGUAGCAUAAUCAUUUGUUCCUUAAUUAGGGACUUGUAUGAAUGGCCCCACGAGGGUUUAACUGUCUCUUACUUUUAAUCAGUGAAAUUGACCUUCCCGUGAAGAGGCGGGAAUACAAAAAUAAGACGAGAAGACCCUAUGGAGCUUAAAUUGAUAUGUUCAACAGAAUUAAAUUAUAAUCCAACAGGAAUAAAAAUAUUCUAACUGAACAAUAAAUUUUGGUUGGGGUGACCUCGGAGUAUAACAUAACCUCCGAGCAAUUAAACCAAGACUUACCAGUCAAGGCCAUAUAACUUAUUGAUCCAAUCUUAUUGAUCAACGAAACAAGUUACCCUAGGGAUAACAGCGCAAUCCUAUUUAAGAGUUCAUAUCGACAAUAGGGUUUACGACCUCGAUGUUGGAUCAGGACACCCAAAUGGUGCAGCAGCUAUUAAAGGUUCGUUUGUUCAACG
RNAcentral lists this ribosomal RNA (533 nucleotides) under Crocidura olivieri (Olivier's shrew). Its description in RNAcentral is "partial 16S ribosomal RNA". It matches the Rfam family "Bacterial large subunit ribosomal RNA", at positions 1816 to 2586 of the family's 2925-position model. Lineage: Eukaryota; Metazoa; Chordata; Mammalia; Eulipotyphla; Soricidae. The record is from RNAcentral.